This is a long non-coding RNA of Cucumis sativus (cucumber), 569 nucleotides long. RefSeq lists it as uncharacterized. The record is from RefSeq and is a predicted model, not a curated record. The transcript has 2 exons. Lineage: Eukaryota; Viridiplantae; Streptophyta; Magnoliopsida; Cucurbitales; Cucurbitaceae.
CUAUAUCCCAUCCUACUACUAUAAAUACAUUUGAAAUCCUCCAAAACUAAUUCUCAUCCCAUCUCCAAAUACAUUUUAUAUAUCAUUCUAAAUCUACAAGAAAAAGAAAAUGAAUUCUAAGGCUUUCAUCCUCCUCGGUCUCCUUUUCGCAGCUGUCAUCCUAGAGGUAACCGCAGUUACGGCCACGAACGACAUAAAAUCUAAUGAAGCUUUUAAGCAAACAGAUGAAAUCAAUGAUGUCAAGCACCACGAUUUGGGAGGAGAAGAUGCUUCACUUGCCCAAUGCCACCACCAUUGCCACAAAGGUUGCUGCAAGUGUUCCCAUGGUCAUUGCGUCAAGUGCUGCCACUAAUCUGCUGAUGAUCAGGCCCUGGUUGAUGUACAAUCUCAAGCCAAAAGUUUAACAACAAAUCCUACUUUGUUGCUUUGUUUUUUGAUUUCUCAAGUUCAUAUAUUAUAUAAUAAUGUCUGCAGUCCAGUGUGUUUGCUUUUAAGUACUGAAUAAAUGCUUUGUUAUGAAAAAAAAAAAGUAAUGAAUAAAUGGAAUGGCUUGAGAUUGACUGUGUUUA